This is a long non-coding RNA of Homo sapiens (human), 455 nucleotides long. RefSeq lists it as uncharacterized. NCBI's taxonomy places the organism in Eukaryota, Metazoa, Chordata, Mammalia, Primates, Hominidae. The record is from RefSeq and is a predicted model, not a curated record. The transcript has 2 exons.
GCAUGCCUAUAAUCCCAGCUACUAGGGAGGCUGAGGCAGGAGAAUCGCUUGAACACCCCUUCUCUGGUCUCAUGGAAAAAUGGUUUGGAAAUGGAAGGGACUCAUGACCUCAAUCUUUACCUCCCUUGCAAUUAUUACCAGUGUACUCAUUCUUGUAGGUUGUGUCAUACCUUGCAUUUGUGGAUUUGUGCAAAGGCUUAUAGAAACAGCUCUUACCAAACCCCUCUCCAUUCUCCCCCACCCUACUCAGAUAAACUCCUACUUCUAGAAACCAAGAGGAGCAACAAAGCCAAAAUAUAUUAGAGGAAUUUGAAGAGGAAGAACUAUAAAGUCAGGAGGGGGAAAAUUGCCAGAAACAAUGGCUAACCAGUUGCCUCAGCAUCAUAUAUGGAGCAGCCCACCUUUUCAUCAGUCUGAGAUGCCACUUUUAUCAUAUAAUAAAGGCCUCAUAUAUA